GACGAACGCUGGCGGCGUGCCUAAUACAUGCAAGUCGAACGGUUUAGUUCCAAGAGGCUUGCCUUUUGGAACUAGACAGUGGCGGACGGGUGAGUAACACGUAGGCAACCUACCUGUCAAACCGGGAUAACCUCGGGAAACCGAAGCUAAACCCGGAUAAGCUCCUUUUUCGCAUGAAGGGGGAGUGAAAAGGUGCGACCUGAUGACAGAUGGGCCUGCGGCGCAUUAGCUAGUAGGUAGGGUAACGGCCUACCUAGGCGAUGAUGCGUAGCCGACCUGGGAGGGCGUACGGCCACACUGGGACUGAGAUACGGCCCAGAAUCCUACGGGAGGCAGCAGUAGGGAAUCUUCGGCAAUGGGCGAAAGCCUGACCGAGCAACGCCGCGUGAGUGAGGAAGGCCUUCGGGUUGUAAAACUCUGUUGUUUGGGAAGAAGGGAAAGGGUAGGACCCUUUGGUGACGGUACCAAACGAGAAAGCCCCGGCUAACUACGUG
This 494-nucleotide ribosomal RNA is filed under the name uncultured bacterium. RNAcentral describes it as "partial 16S ribosomal RNA". It matches the Rfam family "Bacterial small subunit ribosomal RNA", at positions 28 to 507 of the family's 1533-position model. The record is from RNAcentral.